Molecule: transfer-messenger RNA, 338 nt
Filed under: Gammaproteobacteria bacterium
Lineage: Bacteria; Pseudomonadati; Pseudomonadota; Gammaproteobacteria
Rfam family: transfer-messenger RNA
About the family: Bacterial tmRNA, also known as 10Sa RNA or SsrA, is named for its dual tRNA and mRNA-like properties.
Source: RNAcentral
CAUGGCUUCGACGUGGGUUGCGAACCCCAAGGUGCAUGUCGAGGGGCAGAUCACCUCGUAAAUCCAGCUGCAAAUCAUAGUUGCCAACGAAGACAACUACGCACUCGCCGCUUAAUACCCGGUAGGGUGCCGUCUGACCGGAGCCGUGCUUAUGCGUCCGUCAUCAGGCGUCGACUCUCAUAAGCUCGCGUUGCGGCCCGCCCGGGGCCAAUUCGUCAGAACUCUUCCGGGCUCGCCGUUCGUCUUCCCUGCCCGUCGGGUAGCGCGCGGUUAAAUCAAUAGACGUGGAUACACAUGUAGAGCCGAGGGCGGAGAGCUUGCGGACGCGGGUUCGAUCA